GGGCCCGCACAAGCGGUGGAGCAUGUGGUUUAAUUCGAUGCAACGCGAAGAACCUUACCUACUCUUGACAUCCAGAGAACCUUUUAGAGAUAGAAGGGUGCCUUCGGGAACUCUGAGACAGGUGCUGCAUGGCUGUCGUCAGCUCGUGUUGUGAAAUGUUGGGUUAAGUCCCGCAACGAGCGCAACCCUUAUCCUUGUUUGCCAGCACUUCGGGUGGGAACUCCAGGGAGACUGCCGGUGAUAAACCGGAGGAAGGUGGGGACGACGUCAAGUCAUCAUGGCCCUUACGAGUAGGGCUACACACGUGCUACAAUGGCAUAUACAGAGGGCUGCCAACUCGCGAGAGUGAGCGAAUCCCAUAAACCGUGGCUCAGUUCAGAUCGUAGGCUGCAACUCGCCUACGUGAAGGCGGAAUCGCUAGUAAUCG
RNAcentral lists this ribosomal RNA (427 nucleotides) under uncultured bacterium. Its description in RNAcentral is "bacterial SSU rRNA". It matches the Rfam family "Bacterial small subunit ribosomal RNA", at positions 917 to 1344 of the family's 1533-position model. The record is from RNAcentral.